Long non-coding RNA from Dermochelys coriacea (leatherback sea turtle), 5818 nucleotides. RefSeq lists it as uncharacterized. Lineage: Eukaryota; Metazoa; Chordata; Testudines; Dermochelyidae. The record is from RefSeq and is a predicted model, not a curated record. The transcript is spliced from 2 exons.
GGCAUUUAUGUUGUCACAAAUUAGAUCAAUCCACAUGUACUCAUAAGCUGUCUCUCACUCCUGUAUCUUCUUUGCCCAUUUCCCCUGCUUCAGUGUCCCUGCCCUAAGUCCUAAACUCUUGAAAGAUUUAGGUCAAAGUUGUCAAUCUUUAAGAGGAGGCUUGCGUCCAACAUAAAACUUAGAACACAGCUUGUUUGAUAUCUGAAACGUGAUACUAUUCACUGUGACUGUCACAGUAAGUGACAUAACUAUAGAUGGGUCUGAGCCUCACUGUUUACUAGCAAUGUGCUCGUCACCAUAGUGCUAGCAACUUCUGGCCAACAGUACCUCAUGCAGAUUGUUCCUGUCCACAGUAGGAUUAAUCUAAGUGGGGCAGGGUGUAUGUAUGUGCCAUUGGAGAAUUAGGAGGAGUAUGGGCAUAAACCUGGAGAUUCUUGACCCAUGAUUUGUAGGCCUUCUCUUUCAGUGCCUUCUCCAUAGCUCAUGUCAUGGAGGGACUGGAAAACUGACACUCUUUGGUUGGAGCAAAGCUGGAUCAGAAAAUUUAUGCUUCAAGCCCUCCCAGCUUUGGGGUUUGUUCCUUGCCAGUGCCUUUGCACAGCACUGUGUCCACCAGUGUUCUCUCAGCCUGUGUGCUGGGGACAGAGUUUGGCUUGUGGGUAACAAGUUACUCUGCUGCAUUGCUGUAAUGAAGUCUACUAAAAACGUGAUCCUUGAUAGCCAACCCCCUUGACCUGAAAGUAGAGGCACUAUGUAAAGCUUAAGUCUUCUGUUGAGCUUCUGAUGCUGCACUUACCACUCUGGUAUCUGAGCUCCUGCUUUUCAAUGCACUGUGAAAAAGUAAUUGAUUUGUUAGUUAGCUACUGGCAUAUAACCAUCUAAGCAGAGAGCUGUACUGUGCACAGCUAGGGAAAUGCCUAGCAGUGUCUGCUUUCAGAGUGAUGGGUAACUCCAAAAAUGUGAUUACACAUCUGAGCGUUUUUGUUUGGUUUUUUGUUCCACUGCAUGAAUUAACUUAAUCCGCAAAAGAAGCGAGCCUUCAGGCCAUUGACUGUAUUUUGUAUCUGGUUCAAAAUUUGAGAUCCCCAGAAGUUUACCAAACUCUCAGGUCAGUUUUCAUGGCAGAAAAAUAAAUCCUUAAACUCAGCACAACUUAUUAAUAACCCUGACAAUUCCACUACUUUCUAGAGAGAAGUUAUUAGGAACCAUGUUAAGAAUCCAGGUAAAGCCACCUGAUAUCUUCCCUUGGUACCUUUCCUUCCAGUUUCAAAAGCAAGCUGCAUUGAGAUGGGCAGGUCUAGUACGCUGACAGCGUUUAGUUAGAGAGCAAACUGAAAAUAAUUUGAUAUUACACAUUCUAAAAUAUUUUCAGGGAUUUUACAUUAGGAAGCAGCUCUUCACUUUCUCUGCCAUAUAAAGCUUUCCAUUUGGAGGGUCAGGCUUUCAAAAGUUACCUGUGAAACAAACUGCAGGAUUUCCCUGUCCUGAGUUUUUGCAUCUCAACUUUUCACAGCUGAGUUUUUGCACAGGCCGAACAUCAGUUAUGGUGGAAAUGGCAUUUGUGCAUGCAAAUCGAGACAUUUUGCUACCCAUUUAUAUACCUAAACUUCACACAUACCUCUGAGAUUUUUGCAGCUGUAGAAAAAAUUCAGUCACAGCUGUAGGGAUAGCAGUUGAAGGCCAUUUGAAAAUGUAGGCCUAGACUUUAUUGAAAUACUACAUAGAGGUGGUUGGUAAGCAGUGAAGUGGCUUUUCUACAUAUAUACUCAGGCCUAGAUAUGCAGUACAAUCUAUUAGUAAAAUAAGCAAUAUUGUUUGGUAUCCAUCUGAAUAAAUGGUGCUAUAUAAAUGUAAGAUCUUUUCCAUCAAUGCCUAUAUUCAGCCUUCAUUUUAUCAAUGAUCUUGAACUUCUAACAAAAUCUGACACGGGGAUUAGCUGGGUUCCCCCCCCAACUUCCUCAUUUACACACCUACUUUUAUAUAUAUAUAUAUAUAUUUGCAUGUUAAAAUAUGUAUCUGGUGAAAUUGUCUCCAGUCUGCAGGGUAGAUAUUGUUCCUGGUUCUUACCUCAUCCCAGUGUAAAUUGGGAGUAAUUGCAUUGAAGUCAAUGUGAAGUGCGAUCAUAAUCUUUCCCUCAACAUGCAAGAUGUACUAAGAGCCUGUUAGAAAGCUCAUUGAAGUCAGUGGAAGUCUUUCUGCUGACUUCCAGGAGCUUUGGAUCAGACCCUAAAGAGUUCAGCCCCAACUCCCCUUGAAAUCAAUAGAAGGACUCGUAUUGACUGCAUUGGUAUCCUAAAGGAACAUGAAAGGAUAUUGUGACUGAGCUGCUUAAAGUUAUCAGGUUACCACUUUUUUAUCUAGAAGUCUGCUAAAAACCAUCAAGUCUCACUGCAUAGCUGAACAGAUUAAAAUGGGACCGAUGGGGUGUUUAUCGUUAGUUGCAGGGGAAACAGACACAGAACAGUUCUGCUUGUUGCGUAAAGAUCGGCAGCACUUUAUUUUUUUUUAUUAUUAUUAAAAAUUGCUGACUUUGCAGUGAGGAAGAGAAAAAGUGUAUGAGGGAGAAGAAAAAAGUAUACAGACUUUUCAUUCUGUCUGGCAUUUACCAGAAAUCUGCUUUCCUAAAUCUUUUGAGUUGAACAAAUACCCAUGAUGCAUGGAGACUUGAACAAUAAGAUCUUGCCCCUUAGUGGUGGUUUAUAAUUCUGAGACCCCUUUAACACCUAAUUUCUGUAAAUCUGAACUCUUGUUUGUUUCAGUCUACAGGUUUUAUCACAUUCAGUCUCGUGACAGUGCUUAUUGGGUGCACUGGAAACUGGACUGGGAGUUUACAGACCUUGGUUCAAUUCCUGGCUCUGCUGCUGUUUUGCUGUGGGCCUAGUCACUUACAUCUGCCUCAGUUUCUUCCUCUGUAAAAUGGGGAUAAUGAUACUUCAUCUUUUGUAAAGCAGUUUGAGAUCUAAAGAAAAGCUCUGUAGAAAUACUAAGUAUUGUUAUGAAAAGAGAUUGACCCAAUUUAUAUGAAUUGUGGUAUAAAUCUCUGCUAUAAGCUUGAACUUUGUAUUCUAUUUCUGCUCACCAGCUAAGGGGUUUAAACAACACAUCUCUCAAAAAGAGGAUUUCUGCCCAGAGCAGUCACACUCUCCCUCAGUUUAAUGAGUUCCAAUUCAGUUCUGUGUGGCACCAAACAGAUGUAGGCUCUCAACCCGUCCCCACUAUCUGUCUGCAAUUUACAGAGAAUUUCAGGUGACACCUACUGUCUACCUCGCCUUCAGUGGGUUCAUAUUGUAGAUUGAGUACUACAGAUUGUUUGGGAACCGGAUUAAUUCUUAGCUUCCCUAAAAGCCAAACACAAGCUAUGCUUUACUCAGACCCAAAUUAUUGGUCUCAAUACAGGGGUAUCUGGGUGAAAUAAUGGCCUGUGAUGUACUAGAUCAGCAUUUCUCAAACUGGGGUCCAUGGGUCCUGCUGAUUAACUCUUCCCAGCACCUUCUGCAUGUCAGGGAACUGUUCCCCUGUGUGCAGGAGGCGCUGGAAGGGAGUGGGAAGAGUGGGACAGGCUGCACAGGGAGAGGGCAGAAAGAUGCAGGGAAGAGGAGGGACAGGGGUGAGUGCAAGCAGGGCUUGGGACUGAGCAGGUGAUUUGGGGGUCCUUGGAUUUUCAAAGUUUGAGAACCACUGUACUAGAUGAUCUAAUGGUCCCUUCCGCCCUUAAACUUUUUACAUCUCUGCAACCCAACACAUCGGCUACUGUAGUUCUCUUAGGGCCUUAUGCUUCCUGCCAACAGCACAGCCAUGGGCAACAAAAACCAGAAACUAGCUGAGGUUGAGGGAGCAAGAGCACAGCAGGGAUGGGGACGAGGGAUACUCUUGGCAGCACGAUCCCCUCACAGAACUGUUGAGAUUUCUUUGUGGGAGAUAAUACUGGGUCUAUUGGCAGGCUCUGCCAUGGCUUUCCCAUCCCCUAGAGAAAUACCCCCUGCAGGGAGAAUCUCUAUAUCAGCUGCCGGAAGGGAGCUAUGUGGACAAGUGUAGAUGUGCUGACUGUGAGUGCCCCAAGCUCCUGGAGAUUUUCUCACAGAGCUGAGGCAAUGUCUGCACUGCGAGCACUCGUGUAGACUUUUCCUACAUUGAGGGAAGGGGGUUUUCCAAUCACUGUAGCUAAUCCACCUUUCUGAGAGCCAGUAGCUAAGUCAAUGGAAGAAUUCUCCCAUCAACCUACCUACGUUUGUACUGGGAGUUAACCUAACUACGUCACACAGGGCACAAAAUUCUUCACAGCCCUGAGCAAUGUACCAAGGUUGAUCUAAUUUGUAAGUGCAGACCAGGCCUUAUUAGGGUAUUACAGGUUUGGAGCAUCUCAGUUCAGCCAUCCCCUCCUCCCAACAGGUUGAUCUGUUGAAAAUCCUGAAUAUAGUGGAGCUUCCUGGGCCCUGUGUGGUUUUCUGACCAGUGGAUGAUAUGACCUUAGAAUCUGGGACUCUGAAAAUUACUUGAUUGUAGGAAAUGUGCACAAAAAAGUCCAGUAAUACCCAAGAGUCUCCAGGUACCAGCUUUCUGCUAGAUCUCUGUGCAUCUGUAAGCGCUUGAAAAGGCAAGACCAGCCAGAUCACACUGCUAAGCAACGUCUUGCCAUCUUGAGUGAAUCCAUUUAGUUUGCAGCCCCAGAUUUUGACAUUCCAGUACAUGUGUUUGGUUUUAAAACCAAAAGCCUCUGUGAGAUCAGGCAGGGGUUUGAGAGCAGUUAUAAUAUUUGGUGCCAGUGGCAUUUCUAGGUAAUAGCAGAAACAGUCAGCAGUAUGAAGCUUUUGUAGUUCACAUUACUGGGAAGCAGUUCCAGCUUUUCUGUCCAUUCUUGGGAUGGUUAAUUAUUGACCUGCUGGUGCCAAUUGAAAGCUACUUGGGGGGAGGGGGGGAGGAGAAGGGAAGGGAAUUGACUGUUCAGUAUCAGGACAGUUCUGAAUAAUUUGUCUGGUGUUAUCUACACUUCAUUUCCAGUGCCCGCUACUGCUUUUGAUUAUACACCAAGAUAAAGUAAAAUGAUAAAAGUACUAUUGCCACUAAAUCACAUAGUCUUAGGGGCCCAAUCUGGCAAGUUGCUGAGUGCUCUUAAUUUCUUUUGACUUGAGUAAGAUAUUUGGUGGGGUAAUGACUGCAGGAUUUGGCCUGCCCAUUGCUUGUCUCCAGUAAUUUUUGGCCUCUUAAGUGAGUGUGUGUGUUUCAUAACAGUUUUCUGCAGCAAGGCCCCUUCCUCCCUCUGCCCUAUUCCCACUGAUUUUGAUUGGGGCACAGGCUCUCCAUUUUUCCUUCUUUAUUAAAGAUGUGUCAUGCUGUUUUGCAUUGCAAGACUGCAGGCACACAGGUAGGUUUUGGACAGAUAUGUAAAACCCGGUAUGGUUACAAAGCAACAUACCAAGGCAUUUUAAUAUAAUGGUCUUAUGGCUGUUUGAAUUGUUUUUAUUCUGAACUUAAGCACAGCUCAUACGCAUGAAUAAAAUGUGAAGACAAAGUAAAUGAGCGUCAGAAGCAAUCCUCCUUUUCUUUGAUACAUUGAACAAAUUGGUGCCUGUGCUACCAUAAAAAUUUGCUAGGAGGUAUUUUUUUAAAUGAAUGGAUUUGAUGAUUGUUAUAUAAACACUCGGGGAAACACAGGCUUCAGAUGUGCUCUUGCUUUGGCCUUGUUUAAGGUUUUCUGUUCUAUUGUAGGACAGAACUUCUGUGCUACUGGUAUGUAGCAUUUGUCAAGCAGCUCUGUUAAAUGUGCAAUGCAAUUUUAUAUUUACAACCAAAACAAUAAAUGUUAUUUUUUGGAAGAAAA